UAUUUAAAAAAAAAAUAUAAAAGACAUAAAACCCAAUUUAAAAGAUAAACACGGAGCCCCCACUCAAUUAUUUUCUUUCACGUUUCCAUCUUUUUCUUUCUACUAGAAGCUUCACCAUUUCUUCAUCACCCCCACUGUCAAUUGUCUUCUUCUCCUUCUUCCAAAUAACCAAAUUUCUUCCAUGAACCAUAUACUCUUGAGUGAAAACAAAACUACACAUCUAAGCAAAGCUACCUUACGGUCUUACUAGUACUAGUGGAGAUGAUUUUGGGAUUAGGGUUUGUGCUCUAAGAAAGGAGAUGCAUACCCACUCUUUGAAAGUUACUUAUUGAGACUCUUUGAGAAAUGACGUUGGAAGCUUCACAUGCUUUUCAGGAGUGGUAGGAGAGAAAACUAAGUUGAUUCGUCAUAACUAUUCAAAGUCAGCUGAGUAGGGGUUUCUAACAGAGUUAAAGAUCUGUCAAUGUCACUCUUUUGAUUCAAAGUCAGCUGAGUAGGGGUUUCUAACAGAGUUAAAGAUCUGUCAAUGUCACUCUUUUGGUAGGCCUUCUUGAUGAAAAACUAUUUUGUAUAUGUAUAUUUUGAGUCGAUCGAGUAUCUGCAGCUAUUUUGAGUCUAGGAAUAUCUUGUUUUGAAAUGUAUCAAUUUAAAUAUGUAUAUUUUGAAACUUCUGACUGAAGGAUGUAUAUGCUGCAAACAAGAUUUAUUUUGAUUUGGAAACAUUGAAAAUAUAGAUGAGAUUUAGUCGAAA
Molecule: long non-coding RNA, 751 nt
Organism: Trifolium pratense (red clover)
Lineage: Eukaryota; Viridiplantae; Streptophyta; Magnoliopsida; Fabales; Fabaceae
Exons: 4
Source: RefSeq, a predicted model, not a curated record